UGCCCAGGCUGCGUCCUGAUACCGAGUGGACUCCGCCCCAUGAGUGCGAGCAUCCUGAAGGUUCAGGAUACCCUGGGCCGCGGAAGGCAUCUGGCCACACCCUGCUCCGCGCCGGUCCCUCUCCCGCCAAUGCAAGCCCAGGUGGUUAGGCUCAGAAUGGACUGUGAGCUUUCAAAAAGGAAAAAAAGUGGAAGCCACCAAGUAUGCUGCCAGCUGAAUGAACUGAUGCUCUAUAGCUUGCACAAAGUCGAGCAAAUUAUCUUCUCAUGUUGCUCUCAUGUUAUAUAAUAUAUCGACGACCUGCUUACCUUACUCCUUUAACCUAGGUUAUCCUUGGAAGUAGCACUUGGAACAAGACGUAGAUACCUUCUACUGGAGAAUGAGACCUUAGGAGCAGGAAAGAAAGACAGAGGGGUUGAGUCUGAACACAUGAAAGAGAAUCUAAGGAAACUGGGGAAGCAUUGCCAAGAGCUCACUAGCUAUGUUGGACCAAAGCAUCCCAUGCGUCUUAAUAAAUUUUGACUGACAGA
Molecule: long non-coding RNA, 530 nt
Organism: Arvicanthis niloticus (Nile rat)
Lineage: Eukaryota; Metazoa; Chordata; Mammalia; Rodentia; Muridae
Source: RefSeq, a predicted model, not a curated record